Molecule: non-coding RNA, 29 nt
Filed under: Mus musculus (house mouse)
Lineage: Eukaryota; Metazoa; Chordata; Mammalia; Rodentia; Muridae
Source: RNAcentral
UAGAGCAGAUUUUGUUUGGUUAGGACCUU